UGCUGGGGGGAUUAGUGGCGAACGGGUGAGUAACACGUGAGUAACCUGCCCUGGACUCUGGGAUAACCCCGAGAAAUCGGAGCUAAUACCGGAUAGGACCUUUCCCUGCAUGGGGUUUGGUGGAAAGUUUUUCGGUUUGGGAUGGACUCGCGGCCUAUCAGCUUGUUGGUGAGGUAAUGGCUCACCAAGGCGUCGACGGGUAGCCGGCCUGAGAGGGUGACCGGCCACACUGGGACUGAGACACGGCCCAGACUCCUACGGGAGGCAGCAGUGGGGAAUAUUGCACAAUGGGCGCAAGCCUGAUGCAGCAACGCCGCGUGCGGGAUGACGGCCUUCGGGUUGUAAACCGCUUUUAGUAAGGAAGAAGGGGAGCUUGCUCCUUGACGGUACUUGCAGAAAAAGGACCGGCUAACUACGUGCCAGCAGCCGCGGUAAUACGUAGGGUCCGAGCGUUGUCCGGAAUUAUUGGGCGUAAAGAGCUCGUAGGCGGUUUGUCGCGUCUGCUGUGAAAUCCCGAGGCUCAACCUCGGGCCUGCAGUGGGUACGGGCAGACUUGAGUGGUGUAGGGGAGACUGGAAUUCCUGGUGUAGCGGUGGAAUGCGCAGAUAUCAGGAGGAACACCGAUGGCGAAGGCAGGUCUCUGGGCACUUACUGACGCUGAGGAGCGAAAGCG
Molecule: ribosomal RNA, 673 nt
Filed under: Agromyces sp.
Lineage: Bacteria; Bacillati; Actinomycetota; Actinomycetes; Micrococcales; Microbacteriaceae
Description: bacterial SSU rRNA
Rfam family: Bacterial small subunit ribosomal RNA
Source: RNAcentral